RNAcentral lists this long non-coding RNA (638 nucleotides) under Volvox carteri. Its description in RNAcentral is "long non-coding RNA (VCAR_LNC000950)". Lineage: Eukaryota; Viridiplantae; Chlorophyta; Chlorophyceae; Chlamydomonadales; Volvocaceae. The record is from RNAcentral.
CCAAUGCAAUUUUACAGCGGGUAUAUGAUCAAACGAAGUAAAACUUGAAACAUAAAAAGCAGGCUGACGAAGCUGCGCAUCCUGGCCAUUUCUGCAGUAUCGUGCCAUACGAAGAGUUUAAGCAGGGAUACUGCGUCUAAACACCUUGAUUCAAGCAUCUGCAGAUGCGACUGUGGGGCGGUCGAAGAUAAAAUGCACGUUGAGAGAGGUGAUCCAAUGGAUCACCAUCCACACUUGCAGCGCGCCAGAGAUCUUCCAUGCCAUAAAUACCAGGGGCUUUCACAGCUAUGAAGCACAACCCAAUAAGCAGGACAUGCCUCGUGAAACGAUGUCUACUUAUGAUAUUGAGCCAAAAGAUGUUAACAUGUGCGCAUAACAAUAGGCUCAUUCAUACAAAGCCCGAAGCCCGAGAAUUAACAACAAGCAGGCAGAGCAAACACGUCCUUGGAAGGAGUAGCUGAGAGAGGUGAUCCAAUGGAUCACCAUCCACACUGGCAGCGAAGCAGAGACCUUCAAUGCCAUAAAUACCAGGGGCUUUCGCAGCUAUGAAGUACAACCCAAUAAGCAGGACAUGCCUCGUAACACGAUGUCGACCUAUGAUGUUGAGCCAGUAAUGUUAGCACGUGCGCAUAGUAGAA